CGGGUGAGUAACACGUGAGUAACCUGCCUUACACAAGGGGAUAGCCGUUGGAAACGACGAAUAAUACCCUAUGAAACUAUCACUUCGCAUGAAGCGAUAGUCAAAGUGUUAGCGGUGUAAGAUGGACUUGCGUCUGAUUAGCUAGUUGGUGAGAAAAAGCCCACCAAGGCAACGAUCAGUAGCCGGCUUGAGAGAGUGUACGGCCACAUUGGGACUGAGACACGGCCCAG
RNAcentral lists this ribosomal RNA (230 nucleotides) under uncultured Eubacteriales bacterium. RNAcentral's name for it is "uncultured Clostridiales bacterium partial 16S ribosomal RNA". It matches the Rfam family "Bacterial small subunit ribosomal RNA", at positions 103 to 334 of the family's 1533-position model. Lineage: Bacteria; Bacillati; Bacillota; Clostridia; Eubacteriales. The record is from RNAcentral.